CAGCAGCCGCGGGAACGCGUAGGGUGCAAGCGUUAAUCGGAAUUACUGGGCGUAAAGCGUGCGUAGGCGGCUUCUUAAGUCGGAUGUGAAAUCCCUGAGCUUAACUUAGGAAUUGCAUUCGAUACUGGGAAGCUAGAGUAUGGGAGAGGAUGGUAGAAUUCCAGGUGUAGCGGUGAAAUGCGUAGAGAUCUGGAGGAAUACCGAUGGCGAAGGCGGCCAUCUGGCCUAAUACUGACGCUGAGGUACGAAAGCAUGGGGAGCAAACAGGAUUAGAUACCCCCGUAGUCCCUGUCUCUUAUAC
Molecule: ribosomal RNA, 301 nt
Filed under: uncultured bacterium
Lineage: Bacteria
Description: partial 16S ribosomal RNA
Rfam family: Bacterial small subunit ribosomal RNA
Source: RNAcentral